AUUGGUGUGUUACAUGUGUAUACCGAUUUUUGUACAUGUACGUGAAACAUAGCUCGAGGCGCACUCUGUUGAAAGUGUAUAGGUGGCGCUAUCGAGCCAUUUUGCCACACCUGAUGGAAUUUUGGCCUUCAGAUGUGUUCAGGCCAGGACUCUUAUCACACAUGUGAAGUUUGGGGAAGAUCGGACAUUUUAUGCCUGAGUUAUAAGAUCUUUUAUUCCCAUGGCGAGACAUCAAACUUCGUGACGGCGCCAUGGACACACCUUUUAACGAAAACUCAAGAUCUUCACAACUUAACAUCGCACAGGGCUUUAGAUUAGACUGACCACAAAAAAUACAUUGAUGUCAUAAAAUUUCUAGGAGUAGUUCAUCGCAGUGUAAAAUAUGUCACUUCCCGUUGCCAAUAGGUGGCGCUAUGACUAUAAUUGAAUAUGGGCAUGUCAAUCUGUUCAGGUCAGGAGUUUCAUCAAACAUGUGAAGUUUGGGGCAGAUUGGUCAUUGUAUGUCUGAGUUAUAGCAACUUCAUUUUUCAUGGCGAAUCAUCGAAAUUCGCCAGGCCGCCACGGACACGCCCAUUAACGAAAACUCAAAAGCUUCGCAAUUUAACAUCGCAAAGGCCUUCAGAUUAGGCAUACUAAAUUUGGUGUUGAUCUGAAUGAAUCUCUAGGAGGAGUUCGUUAAAAUACAACGCAUGGAAAUGACAAAAAUGACACAAAAUUUGCUCAUAAUAUUAGUAAUAACCGACUUCCUGUUGGGUUUCGGAUUUUGCUCCAAGAGACUUUUUUGUAGGUAUUGGAGAGUUACAUGUGUAUACCGAUUUUCAUACAUGUACAUGAAACGUAGCUCGAGGCGCACACCGUUGAACGUGUAUAGGUGGCGCUGUUGAGCCAUUUUGCCACACCCACUUCUGAAACCCAUAUCAGACGUAAAUUUUCGCCAGUUCUGAGGUGUGUGCAAAGUUUCAUGACUUUUCGAGCAUGUUUAGGCCCUCAAAAAUGCGAUUCAUUUUGGAGAAGAAGAAUAAUAAUAAUAAUAAUAAUAAUAAUAAUAAUAAUAAACGGAGCAAUUCCAAGAGGGUCCUCACACCAUCGGUGCUCGGGCCCUAAUAAUAAUAAUAAUAAUAAUAAUAAUAAUAAUAAUAAUAAUAAUAAUAAACGGAGCAAUUCCAAGAGGGUCCUCACACCAUCGGUGCUCGGGCCCUAAUUAAAGCUGCAAGCAGCGAUGAACGGGCCCUCGCACCCGGGCUCACCGGCAGCGAGUGGCUUUAGUUAAUAGGUGAACGGUGAGAAAUAUGCGUUUAAACUCAUAAAUAUAAGUAGAAUAUAUCAAUGUUUAUUCCAUAUAUGUGCCAAUCUUCCUGUUGCCAGCAGGUGGCGCUAUCAUUAUAAUGGAAUAUUGGCCUUCAGAUGUGUACAGGGCAGGACUUUUAUCGAACAUGUGAGGUUUGGGGAGGAUUGAACCCGCCCUUUAACGAAACCUCAAGUCCUUCGCAAUUUAUUAUCGCAAAGGGCUUUAGAUUACACUGACCAAUUUUGGUGUUGAUCUGAAUAAAUCUCUAGGAGGAGUUCGUUAAAGUACAACCCCUGAAAAUGGCAAAAACAACACCAAUUUUGAAGGGAAAAUUCAAAAUAACCGACUUCCUGUUGGGAUCCGGAUUUCGUACCAAGAGACUUUUUUGUAGGUAUUGGUGUGUUACAUGUGUGUACCAAUUUUUGUACAUGUACGUGAAACAUAGCUCGAGGCGCACUCCGUUGAAAGUGUAUAGGUGGCGCUAUAGAGCCAUUCUGCCACACCCGGUGGAAUAUUGGCCUGCAGAUCUGUUCAGGCCAGGCCUCUUAUCACACAUGUGAAGUUUGGGGAAGAUCAGACAUUUUAUGCCUGAGUUAUAACAUCUUUUAUUCCCAUGGCGAGACAUCGAACUUCAUCGCGGCGCCAUGAACAAGCCUUUUAACGAAAACUCAAGAUCUUCACAACUGAACAUCGCACAGGCCUUUAGAUUAGAGUGACCACAAAAAAGACAUUGAUGUCAUAAAAUUUCUAGGAGUAGUUCGUCGCAGCGUAAAAUAUGUCACUUCCUGUUGCCAAUAGGUGGCGCUAUGAUUAUAACUGAAUAUGGGCAUGUCAAUCUGUUCAGGUUCGGAAUCUCAUCAAACAUGUGAAGUUUGGGGCAGAUUGGACAUUGUAUGUGUGAGUUAUAGCAACUUCAUUUUUCAUGGCGAAUCAUUGAAAUUCGCCAGGCCGCCACGGACACGCCCUUCAACGAAAACUCAAGAUCUUCGCAAUUUAACAUCGCAAAGGCCUUUAGAUUAGGCAUACCAAAUUUGGUGUUGAUUUGAAGAAAUCUCUAGGAGGAGUUCGUUAAAAUACAACACAUGGAAAUGACCAAAAUUACACAAAAUAUGCUCAUAAUAUUAAAAAUAACCGACUUCCUGUUGGGUUUAGAAUUUCGCUCCAAGAGUCUUUUUUGUAGGUAUUGGUGUGUUACAUAUGUAUGUCAAUUUUCGUGCAUGUACGUGAAACAUAGCUGGAAGGCUGUUGAUUUUCUUGGUAUAGGUGGCGCUGUCGAGCCAUUUUGCCACACCCUCUUCUGAAUCCUAUAUCAGACAAAAAUUUUCACCAGGUUUGACGCGUGUGCAAAGUUUCAUGA
This is a long non-coding RNA of Carassius gibelio (silver crucian carp), 2645 nucleotides long. RefSeq lists it as uncharacterized. NCBI's taxonomy places the organism in Eukaryota, Metazoa, Chordata, Actinopteri, Cypriniformes, Cyprinidae. The record is from RefSeq and is a predicted model, not a curated record. The transcript has 3 exons.